Molecule: ribosomal RNA, 253 nt
Filed under: uncultured bacterium
Lineage: Bacteria
Description: partial 16S ribosomal RNA
Rfam family: Bacterial small subunit ribosomal RNA
Source: RNAcentral
UACAGAGGGUGCAAGCGUUAAUCGGAAUUACUGGGCGUAAAGCGCGCGUAGGUGGUUCAGUAAGUUGAAUGUGAAAUCCCCGGGCUCAACCUGGGAACUGCAUCCAAAACUGCUGAGCUAGAGUAUGGUAGAGGGUGGUGGAAUUUCCUGUGUAGCGGUGAAAUGCGUAGAUAUAGGAAGGAACACCAGUGGCGAAGGCGACCACCUGGACUGAUACUGACACUGAGGUGCGAAAGCGUGGGGAGCAAACAGG